UUGACGGGGCCGCACAAGCGGAGGAACAUGUGGUUUAAUUCGAUGAUACGCGAGGAACCUUUACCUGGGCUUAAAUGUAGAGUGCAUUUUUUAGAGAUAGAAAUUCCCUUCGGGGCUUUUCUGCAAGGUGCUGCAUGGUUGUCGUCAGCUCGUGCCGUGAGGUGUCGGGUUAAGUCCCAUAACGAGCGCAACCCUUAUCGUUAGUUGCCAGCUGGUAAAGCAGGGGACUCUAGCGAAACUGCCACCGUAAGGUGAGAGGAAGGUGGGAUGACGUCAAAUCAGCACGGCCCUUAUGUCCAGGGCUACACACGUGUUACAAUGGCCGGCACAGAGGGCAGCUACCUGGUGACAGGAUGCUAAUCUCGAAAACCGGUCUCAGUUCGGAUCGAAGUCUGCAACUCGACUUCGUGAAGCUGGAUUCGCUAGUAAUCGCGCAUCAGCCAUGGCGCGGUGAAUACGUUCCCGGGCCUU
Molecule: ribosomal RNA, 471 nt
Filed under: uncultured Sphingobacteriales bacterium
Lineage: Bacteria; Pseudomonadati; Bacteroidota; Sphingobacteriia; Sphingobacteriales
Description: bacterial SSU rRNA
Rfam family: Bacterial small subunit ribosomal RNA
Source: RNAcentral